GUAGCAGUAAAUCUUCCCGCCCUCUCACCAGCAACAGUUGAAAAUGGCGGCUUACGUUAAUCAUUUAACCCUUGAUUAAGCAUUUAAUCUUUCUUCAUAAUCUCGUUUAGUCUCUCAUAUAUAUUAUAAAUUAAUUUAACCGAUUCAUAUUUUCAGUUACACAGUGAUUUUCUCAAAUUUAGCCGACGAAAUGCCCGGCUUAGUUUCCGUAAAAACCCCACCCAAUGGGUCCCAAACACCGAUCCGAACCGAAUCCAACAGGUCAGAAUCCGGUAACCCGAUAUCCAACUCCCCGGCCACUCGCCGACCUGCCUCGCCUUCGCCGUCAACAUCACGCGCCAAACCCUCCCCAGAUCGGAAGAAAAAGUCCCCUCCGGAAAAAUCAGUACUCGACAAGUCCUCCCUUGACAACCCGGAUCUCGGCCCCUUUUUGUUGAAACUGGCCCGAGAUGCAAUUGCGUCGGGCGAGGGCCCGAACAAGGGUUUGGAAUAUGCUCUUCGGGCUGCGAAGUCUUUUGAGAAGUGCGUGGUUGACAAUGAGCCGAGUUUGGAUUUGGCGAUGAGUUUGCACGUUGUGGCGGCGAUUUAUUGUAGUUUGGGGAGAUUUGAGGAGGCGGUACCGGUUUUGGAACGGGCAAUUAAGGUGCCGGAGGUGUCAAGAGGGGCGGAUCAUGCACUCGCCGCAUUCUCCGGCUACAUGCAGUUAGGGGAUACGCAUUCGAUGCUCGGGCAGCUGGAUCGCUCUAUUGAGUGUUACAAGGAAGGUUUGAAGAUACAGAUGGAGGCCUUGGGAGAAAAUGAUCCCAGGGUUGCAGAAACUUGCAGGUAGAUUAACUUUUUGUCAUCUUUUUCAUUUUCCGGAGUUUUUUGUUGAUCGUUAAAAAGCAUUAAUUAGAAUUCAAUUGGGUUUGUUAUUGAGAAAUUUGAAUUUAUUGAAUUGGUGGGCGUUUGAUCUGAGGAUGCUUAUGGAAUUUAGAAGUGUGAGAACCAAGGAGUUAUUAAGCAUUGGUAAAGCAUUCCGUUGAGCCAAAUAUGUGGGAGUCUUCUCUAAUUAGAGUAUUUUCUUGAUUACUCAGCCCAUUACGUCAAGAUAAACAAGUAACAUUCUAUCAUGAGUUGAUCCUUAUAUUUGGAUGUCAAAUGAUGAUUCAUUUCUAGUUACGUAGCACAACCAAUGAGAGAGAAUCUUUUUGUCAUUUAAAACCUGAAUAAUGCUGAUAGAAAAAAAAAAAUUAGCAUUUUGAGGGCAUUAUAUUGAUCUGCUCCAUAAGGCAAUUUUAGAUUUUAUAAUGGUAUCACAGAUGAGUCUUGUAACAUCUAUCCUGCUUUGCUCUUGAGAACUCUUCUAGUUUUGUGAUUGAUGAAGGUCGUUUAAAUCCAGAUAACUUGUAUUUUUGAUGAUUUACAACAUGUUUUCCUAUGCAUGACAUCGAUGUGUAUUAUUAUGUCAGUAUUUCAAUUUAUCCCGAAAAGGAUAGAAUCUAUUAUGCUGAAAUUUAUUCCAUCAUGAUUUUUCAACUUGCAGGUACUUGGCUGAGGCCCAUGUUCAAGCAGUACAAUUUGAUGAAGCUGAGAAUCUGUGCAAGAAAACCCUUGAGAUUCACCGUGUUCAUAGUCCACCAGCUUCUCUUGAAGAAGCAGCUGACCGUCGGUUGAUGGCUCUCAUAUGCGAGGCUAAAGAAGAUUAUGAAUCAGCCCUUGAACACCUUGUACUUGCCAGAAUGACAAUGAUUGCCAAUGGACAGGAAAAUGAGGUUGCAGCUAUUGAUGUUAGCAUUGGCAACAUAUACCUGUCCCUUUUCCGCUUUGACGAGGCAGUUUUUUCCUACCAAAAGGCACUGACUGUCUUCAAAUCUUCAAAGGGUGACAACCACCCUUCGGUUGCCUCAGUCUUUGUUAGGCUUGCUGACUUAUACUACAAGACAGGAAAACUAAGGGAAUCCCGAUCUUAUUGUGAAAAUGCCUUGAGAAUAUACGCAAACCCCAUACCUGGAACUGCCAUAGAAGAGAUUGCGAGUGGAAUGACUGAAAUUUCAGCUAUCUAUGAAUUGUUCGACGAACCUGAAGAGGCGCUAAAACUCUUGGAGGAAUCCAUAAAACUUUUGGAGGAUAAGCCCGGGCAGCAAAGUACAAUUGCUGGAAUCCAAGCACGGAUUGGAGUGAUGUUUUACGUGGUUGGAAGGUAUGAAGAAUCAUGGAGCUCUUUUGAGAAUGCUGUAACAAAACUUAGGGCCAAUGGUGAGAGGAAAUCAGCAUUCUUUGGAGUUGUGUUGAACCAGAUGGGGUUGGCUGGUGUACAAUUAUUCAAGAUAGACGAGGCUGCCGAGUUAUUUGAAGAAGCAAGAGAAAUAUUGGAACGGGAGUGUGGCCCAUAUCAUCAGGAUACUCUUGGUGUAUAUAGCAAUCUUGCAGCAACUUAUGAUGCUAUGGGAAGGUAAUAUCACUAGACGAAAUGCUUUUUAAUUUUUGUUGAGAAUUCCCAACUUAGCGCCCCCCCCCCGGGGGGGGCACCCCUGCGCGCCCCCAAAAAAAAGAACUUGCUGAAAUUAGGGAGAAUUUAAUUUCUCAGGAAUUAUAAAAUAGUCUUUCUGACCUCACUUGUUGAUUGAAACAUGGAAUUUCAAAUGCUGUUUUCUAUUCCAAACUAUGGGUUAAACCUCCUUGGGAAUUAAAUACCUAAGCUUUUUGGACUUGUCCAAAAUUAAAUUCUGGGUUGUAUCGACUCUUGAGAUUUGUGAUAUAAAAUAUUAUCUACUUUUUGAGCUCAUGGCAUCAGCAUGAGAAGUGAAGCUACGUCCUUGGCAUCAGAUACAGCCAUGAAUGCAUCUGUAUUCUGAUUAUGACCCUGUUGGGAACUGUAAUUAAAGGCUGCAUUUGUUAUUGAAUUUUAAUUUCAAAUCGAUAAGAAUCUUGAAAUGGAGAAACUGAAACUUAAAGUAUGGAUCAAUGGAUUUACUGUCUGUUUGAAGCAUGACAUGAUGAUGCACCAUAAGUAGCUUUUUGGAAGUCCUGAGAGCCUGAUAUUAUGCCUGCGUGUUAAUACCUUGAUGCCAUAAAAUGGAUUGGUGUGACCCUGAUUUGACAACGUUUUCUGUAAAUCCCCAGAAUUGAGGAUGCAAUAGAGAUUCUUGAGUUUGUUCUUAAAUUGAGAGAAGACAAUCUUGGAACAGCAAAUCCAGAUUUCGAUGAUGAGAAGAAAAGGCUAACUGAGCUUUUGAAAGAAUCUGGCAAGUCUAGGAACAAGAAGGCAAAAUCACUUGAAAACCUUAUCGACCCUAAUUCCAGAAGGACAAAGAAACAGACGUCAAGAAAGUGGUCUGGUUUUGGGCUCAGAAGUUGAUGGAGGUAAUUUACCCCAAGCCUUUCUAUUUCACAUCCUGUUACAUAGAAGAUUGUGGAUAGUGUUGAAGCUGUAAUUUCACAAGACCUAUCGUCUUCUUGGCCUUUGAGAUGCCAUUCUUUUUUCUUUUCAUUUUCCCGAUUAGUUGUUCAAUGAGUUGUCAAUUUGCGAUGUUGAAUUCUGGGUAAGAAUUUGUUUUCUUUGAGGAGUUUGUUUCGGCCUACUGAUGAAAUAAUAAAUUUAUUUUGUCUCUAGUUCUACAUUAAAACUUGAUAACCGUGAUCUCUCUUGCAAAUUCUGUGGCGGAAAGCAUGAAAAUUUAGUCUGUGCCUUGUGUAAUGAAACAGACGUUUUCCUGAAUUUCCAUUUAUCCAAAUAAAUCAAACAUUAACAAUUCC
RNAcentral lists this long non-coding RNA (3738 nucleotides) under Olea europaea subsp. europaea. Lineage: Eukaryota; Viridiplantae; Streptophyta; Magnoliopsida; Lamiales; Oleaceae. The record is from RNAcentral.